RNAcentral lists this long non-coding RNA (1196 nucleotides) under Fukomys damarensis (Damara mole-rat). RNAcentral's name for it is "lncRNA (ENSFDAG00000024350.1)". Lineage: Eukaryota; Metazoa; Chordata; Mammalia; Rodentia; Bathyergidae. The record is from RNAcentral.
AUGCACAUCUUUGGUGGGCACAAGAAGGAGAGCUCCUUCAGAAUGAAAGCACACCGGCUGCUACUAAUGCUGCUGCCGACGGAACUUCCAUUGACCCUGGCAGAGACCCGGGCCCUGCCGAACACUCUCAGGUGGUCGCUGCCUCCUUCAUCAGCACUGCAGCCCAAUGAACUAAGAAGGCCUUUGUCGAAGGAGCAGAGGGAUGCAAACACCAGGACUCCGAAGACAACCACAUCAACUUCAAAGGGGAAGAUGAGUCAUUGCUCUGAGGGCAUCAAGGGCUGGGAGGGGCAGCGGGUGGCUCCCCUGAGCACCUCUGUGCCCGGCUUGUCCUUAGGGGUGCUUUGCCCUAGGAAAAAUCUGUGUCUUUUCACAGAUCAGACAUCAUUCCAAAGUGAUUUGUUGAUUUUUAUUACUUCAAAUUCGACUCCAAAAUGUGGGCCAAAAUUCAGGUGUGGUGAAUAUUUUAUUACACAGUUCUCAGGAGCCCCUUUGCUGUAAGGGUGGCUCCCAGGCUCCAGAAUUCUGCCAGGUUCCUGCAACUAGCUGCAGGCACAGAAACUGUGCCAGACCCUGUCCAAAGGGAUCCUACCACUCCUCACAAAUGUCCACUGUCACACCCCAGACCCCCAAACCCAAGCUCCCUCAGCGUCUUCCCUGGCAGUCCUGGCAGAAGCAGAUUCAGCUGCUCCUUAAACUUUCCAGGGAGGCCAGAAGCAGGGCCCAAUGCACUGCCCUAAACCUUCUGCCUGCUGCAGUCAGCUUGUGGAACAAAUCGGGAACAAACAGGCUCCCUCAUCCUCGCCACGGCCCUUCACACAGAUUUGAAAAUGACUCUCAGGGUUCCUCUACAUUUUCCUUUCAUCACACCAAACAGCCCCAGGCCCCUUGACUGCAUCUCACAUGAAACGUUUUCCAGAUGGCUCCCGAUGUUUGCCACCCUCCUCCAGAGCAUGUUUAACGGCCUCCCCAGAAACCACAAUAAAGUGCAGAUGCUGGUCCUGAGCAAUAAUCUCUACAUGUGCUUCUAUCAGCAGACUAGAACGGGACUGUCCUCUCUCUUGCAGAGGACACUUUGACUAUUAAUUCAGCCCAAGGCUACAUUCACUCUUCCAGCCAGUUCACUGUAUACUCGACUCGUCCUCAGCUUGAAGUCAUAACGCUUUCCGUAACACAUGCUGCCAAACAGGGCCUCG